Molecule: ribosomal RNA, 197 nt
Filed under: uncultured bacterium
Lineage: Bacteria
Description: partial 16S ribosomal RNA
Rfam family: Bacterial small subunit ribosomal RNA
Source: RNAcentral
ACUCCUACGGGAGGCAGCAGUGGGGAAUUUUGGACAAUGGGCGCAAGCCUGAUCCAGCAAUGCCGCGUGAGUGAAGAAGGCCUUCGGGUUGUAAAGCUCUUUCAGCUUGAAAAGAAAAAGCCGUGACUAAUAAUCAUGGUCAUGACGGUAUCAACAGAAAAAGCACCGGCUAACUACGUGCCAGCAGCCGCGGUAAU